Molecule: ribosomal RNA, 1371 nt
Filed under: Mycobacterium gordonae
Lineage: Bacteria; Bacillati; Actinomycetota; Actinomycetes; Mycobacteriales; Mycobacteriaceae
Description: bacterial SSU rRNA
Rfam family: Bacterial small subunit ribosomal RNA
Source: RNAcentral
GGUAAGGCCCUUCGGGGUACACGAGUGGCGAACGGGUGAGUAACACGUGGGUAAUCUGCCCUGCACAUCGGGAUAAGCCUGGGAAACUGGGUCUAAUACCGAAUAGGACCACAGAACACAUGUCCUGUGGUGGAAAGCUUUUGCGGUGUGGGAUGGGCCCGCGGCCUAUCAGCUUGUUGGUGGGGUGAUGGCCCACCAAGGCGACGACGGGUAGCCGGCCUGAGAGGGUGUCCGGCCACACUGGGACUGAGAUACGGCCCAGACUCCUACGGGAGGCAGCAGUGGGGAAUAUUGCACAAUGGGCGAAAGCCUGAUGCAGCGACGCCGCGUGGGGGAUGACGGCCUUCGGGUUGUAAACCUCUUUCACCAUCGACGAAGGUUCGGGUUUUCUCGGAUUGACGGUAGGUGGAGAAGAAGCACCGGCCAACUACGUGCCAGCAGCCGCGGUAAUACGUAGGGUGCGAGCGUUGUCCGGAAUUACUGGGCGUAAAGAGCUCGUAGGUGGUUUGUCGCGUUGUUCGUGAAAUCUCACGGCUUAACUGUGAGCGUGCGGGCGAUACGGGCAGACUUGAGUACUGCAGGGGAGACUGGAAUUCCUGGUGUAGCGGUGGAAUGCGCAGAUAUCAGGAGGAACACCGGUGGCGAAGGCGGGUCUCUGGGCAGUAACUGACGCUGAGGAGCGAAAGCGUGGGGAGCGAACAGGAUUAGAUACCCUGGUAGUCCACGCCGUAAACGGUGGGUACUAGGUGUGGGUUUCCUUCCUUGGGAUCCGUGCCGUAGCUAACGCAUUAAGUACCCCGCCUGGGGAGUACGGCCGCAAGGCUAAAACUCAAAGAAAUUGACGGGGGCCCGCACAAGCGGCGGAGCAUGUGGAUUAAUUCGAUGCAACGCGAAGAACCUUACCUGGGUUUGACAUGCACAGGACGCCGGCAGAGAUGUCGGUUCCCUUGUGGCCUGUGUGCAGGUGGUGCAUGGCUGUCGUCAGCUCGUGUCGUGAGAUGUUGGGUUAAGUCCCGCAACGAGCGCAACCCUUGUCUCAUGUUGCCAGCGGGUAAUGCCGGGGACUCGUGAGAGACUGCCGGGGUCAACUCGGAGGAAGGUGGGGAUGACGUCAAGUCAUCAUGCCCCUUAUGUCCAGGGCUUCACACAUGCUACAAUGGCCGGUACAAAGGGCUGCGAUGCCGCGAGGUUAAGCGAAUCCUUUUAAAGCCGGUCUCAGUUCGGAUCGGGGUCUGCAACUCGACCCCGUGAAGUCGGAGUCGCUAGUAAUCGCAGAUCAGCAACGCUGCGGUGAAUACGUUCCCGGGCCUUGUACACACCGCCCGUCACGUCAUGAAAGUCGGUAACACCCGAAGCCAGUGGCCUAACCCU